RNAcentral lists this ribosomal RNA (147 nucleotides) under Ochrophyta sp. RNAcentral describes it as "partial small subunit ribosomal RNA". It matches the Rfam family "Eukaryotic small subunit ribosomal RNA", at positions 1296 to 1461 of the family's 1831-position model. The record is from RNAcentral.
AGUUGGUGAAGUGAUUUGUCUGGUUUAUUCCGUUAACGAACGAGACCCCCACUUUUAAAUAGCUACUUCAAUCGUUUUUGAUUGUUGACUAGCUUCUUAAAGGGACUUUUUGUUACAAACAAAAGGAAGUUGGGGGCAAUAACAGGU